This 620-nucleotide long non-coding RNA is filed under the name Sorghum bicolor (sorghum). Its description in RNAcentral is "long non-coding RNA (SBIC_LNC006057)". Lineage: Eukaryota; Viridiplantae; Streptophyta; Magnoliopsida; Poales; Poaceae. The record is from RNAcentral.
AGCUCAUCACUACGUGCAUCGGUUGUAUAAUGAGUUGCCCGACCAAAAUAUGCUCAAGUCGUGGGACAUUGGAGCAAAACAAACAAAUCCCGUAGUGUCAUGUCAACCGUCAGUAGCCGGCUUGUCGAGUACUACCAGAGCUUCUCCUUCGUGCAGAGGGGCAAUGAUGGCGUGCUCAUCAUCCGCACCAGUUACCUCUAGAGCUUCUCGUCCAUGUGGAGAGGCAAAGAUGGCACACUUGUUGUACAACCUUGAGAAGAAGAUUGACCAUGAACUUGGGAGGGAGCACAGGCAAGGUGUAAUGCUGCCUCCGCAACCACACCCCACACCAGCACCAGACGCCAAAUGACGAGCAUGAUGCGACUUACACGCAUGAGUCUACACGAAGAUGACCUCUUCCUUGUAAAGUGAAGGCAACCAUGAGGACUUCAAUGUUGUUACACCUAUGUAACCAAAGUAGAUAAGAUCAGACUCGAGUAUUAGGGUAGGGCCACGACUAGCCCUAGACGUGACCCAAAAUACUUUUUAUUGUAUGUGUAAAUUUCUAGCCCUAGACGUGACCCAAAAUACUUUUUAUUCUAUGUAUAAAUUUCUGACCCAGUUUAAUAUGGCUCUAGGCG